CCAUCCUAGUACUACUCUCGCC
Molecule: small RNA, 22 nt
Filed under: Arabidopsis thaliana (thale cress)
Lineage: Eukaryota; Viridiplantae; Streptophyta; Magnoliopsida; Brassicales; Brassicaceae
Description: AGO4_05906
Source: RNAcentral